GUGUAAUUACAAAUUUUUAAUUUGAAAAGCAUUUUAAAAUGAAGUUGCUCCAUGCAGUAAUUCAUUAUUAUUUUAAAUAAUUUUUAAACAUUUUGUGCUUAUUUACUAGAACUAUGAACAGAAGAUUAAUUUAGACAAACAUUUUAAGAAUUAAUUUCCUUCAUUCAGAUUUUCUUCUGUACUUUUUUCCUGUUAUUUUGUUUUAUUGUAUUUUGUUCGUGCAGCCUAGUGUCGUUCUUUUGGUUGAACUCAUUAAAUGAUGUCUGAAACUGAAGCGUUUUGUCCACAUUAAUAAACUGGAGCCGUUCUCCUGCUUUAAUUAAACGUCGUUUCUCCGGGUUUACUUUGUGUCGUUUCUUUUCCACUCGGCUGGUCUGACGUUGAGAACGAGCUGCUGCAGAGAGGCGAUAUUUCACAACCCCAAUAAUUGGAAACGUCUCAAUUCCCUAAUUACAAGCUAAAUCAUCGACUGCAGCAGAGAAACAGCGACACGUUUCUGCAUCCCAGCUGCAGGAAUCCAUGAGAACCAGCUCUGAUCGGACCUUUUUAAUCCUCCAACAGCUGGAACAUGAUCUCAGUCACAUUUAUCUCCACUUCUACACAGGAAACAGAAAACUACAGGGUUAUCUGCCUGAAAAAUGUUUUUUAUGUGUAAAAUUCAACAAAAUCUAAAUCAUGUUUCAUAUGUAAGGAAAAUAAACUAAAUAUUCUAACAUUAUUUAAAAUUAUUUUUGUGUUUUUUUUAACUUAAUUACCACAUUAUGAACACAAGUUUUUAGUUUGAUAAAUAUUUGAAACAUUAUUUGGUCCAAAUAAUAUUUCAAUGUUAUUUAAAAUUAAUUUUUGUGAAAGCAUCAUGAUGUAAAAAAAAGCAGAAUUCUACGAAUAAAUUUAUAUUUUCUGUAUUUUCCUCAGUAUUUUCUGUAAUUUAACAAAAUAAGGAAAACCUGUAAAUUUUUGAAGACGUUAAAAUUAAAAAGGUGAAUUAAAAAAAAUCUUGUUUUCUGUCUCCGCUGCUUCGGUUUCAUUUCCAGAACAAACUGAACACAAACUAAAUGAAUUCAGCUCCAGACAGAAGAAGAUCGUGAAGGUUCUGGUUCAGACGGUUUAAAAUUCUGGCUCUGGUCCAGACGGUUAAAGUUCUGGUUCUGGUCCAGAUCCUACAUAUGGCUCCGGUCCGUCUCCAGAUUUCUUCCUGUUUGGUCACCAGUCGCUGCUUUUUGUUCCAGAGUGAAGGAUUAUUUUGGAGCUUCGGUUCUAGAGAUUCUGGAUCCAAACAGAACCAGAGCUGCUGGACUCAGUUUGCUGCUACAGUUAUUUAAAUUCUGGAUCGGUUCAGUCGUCUGUUGAGAGAAUCAUAAGGAAACAUGAAACCAGUUUCUGCUCCGUUAAUCAUCCAACUGGAACCACAGAAGUGCAUUUAGUCCAGUAUAGGGUUCCUCUGUCUUCUGCUUCCUCUGGCUGAUGCUCAGCAGCAGACUGUGGCCUCUGCUGCCGUAUGCAGAUCAAGCUUCAUUCUGAUGCUCCGGCUGACGGCCGGUUCAGCGUCUGAACGUCUCUGGAGAUGUGGCCAUGUGUGCUGCUCUGGUGCAGAAUGGAAGUGGAGCAGCACGGAUCGGACACUUUCAGGUUCUGCAUGUUUCUGUGAUUGGACGAUUCCAGCUUCCUGCCAGAGGAUUUAAUGUAGAAACAGCUUCAUGUUCUGGAAACGACAUGGAAUAAAACUAGAAAGAGACGAGAUAGGGAGGCUACCAAGACAUCCAUGACUCCUCUAAAGGAGAAAGAGACCAGAGAGGGAGGCCACCAAGACUCUAUGACUCCUCUGAAGAAGAAAGAGACGAGAUAGGGAGGCCACCAAGACUCCUAUGACUCCUCUGAAGGAGAAAGACCAGAGAGAAAGGCCACCAAGACAUCCAUGACUCCUCAGUAAGAGGUGAGUUUGGAUUACAGUUGAUUUAAUUACCAACAGUAUGAUGUCAACACAACCUUUCAGUACUGUUUGUAACUCAACUGUGAUUUUCUUUCUCUUCUAUUCAUUCAUUUAUUAAUGUGGUGAGAAUCCGUUUCUUGAGCUCCUCUUCGUAACGUUUCAGACGGACUUUUCCUUGAAGCUCUGUAGAACUGAGACGUUCUCCGGCUCCUCGUUAAGCUGAAACGCUUCCUGUUUGUGGCCUGUAACGCUUCCUGAUCACAUGAAAUGAGCUCUGGUCCAGCGUUAUGACGGCGGGACGUCAGGAAAGCCCAGCUAAUGAAUUUAGUCCUGAAGAGAAGCGACGGAUCAUCACUUGUCACGCGGCCGAGGCGAAGAGGUGAAGAAAUUAAAGCCCAGAGUGGCGCAUUUAAAUGCGUCUGACCUCCCCGGCAGCCGCUUGGCAGUAAUUACGCCCAAUUAUCGGUUUCUGUUUCGCCUUUUCUGUUGGUUCCCGGCUCGGCCAUGCGUGGAUCAUCCUCCACACCGGAAAAAAGCCCCUCUCAAAACAAGAAAAAAACCUUUUACCUUAAAAUAAGUGAAAAAAUCUGCCAAUAGAACAAGUGAAAAAUGUCUUGGUAAGAUUUCUGGAAAUAAGAUGUGAUAUUUAGAACACUGAGAUCUUAAAAUUAGCUGGAAAACUUAUUUUAAGCUCUAUUUUACCAGGAUUGUCAAGGUUAGGUGUCUCCUCCUCCUCCUGUUGUCCUCAUUUACGGCACCAAAAAUGUUGUUUCUUCGUCUGAAAAAUAUCCAAAAAUUCAGCCAAAAAUUCCUUAAGUUUCCCUUGAAAGUUUUAUUUAGAAAAACAAAUUUGACAAGAAAAAAAUUUUUUUAAAUGAAAAUUGUAAAUAUUUUCAAAAAAAUUGUAAAAAUAGUCCAAUAAAAUCCUAAAAAUAUCUAAAAUGGUUCCAUAUAUAUCAGUGAAACUUCUAAUAUUUUCUUGAAGACCAUAAACAUAAAAAUCAACCAAAAUCCUGCGUUGAUUUUUAUGUGAAUGUUCUUCAAGAAACAUUUUUUUAACAUUUCUUUUUUCCACCAAAAAAAGUUCAAAAAUUUCCCCAAAAAUUUUGAAAAUGUGGACGCUUCACUGUAAAAAUAUUAUAUUUUUCCAACAUUUUCAAACUGUAAAACGAGUGAAUUUGAGCCGCAGGACGACACGAGGGUUAAAACAAGAUCAUUUCAAGAUUGUUUGACUUAAGAUAUUUAAGAUGCAUUGUCUUAAAACAAGUCCUUCCAUCUGCUGAAAUGUCUCUUGUUCAGUGAAUUUAUCUUAAAUCAAGUGGGAUGAGACAUUUAGACUAAAAAUCAGACAAAUAGACUUCGUAAGAUUUAGAGUUUUUGCAGUGCUCCACUCCCUCUCAUACAGACUCUCAGUGGUACUGAUUCCUGUGGCCUUGAGGAGCUUUCCUGGUUGGUGCUUAUAUGCCUACAGAUGAAUAAUUAAACCCGCAGAUCCUCUCCUGACUUCUUGUAAGUCAAACUGAAAUCCUUGAAUCCGUCCGUCCGAAUGGCUCGACACACACCGACGAUAAGCAUCCUAAAACAUCCUCCUGGUGGUGCGUGAUUUCCUGCCGCCGCUCGCUCAGGCUCGUACGUUUCAGGAUGGCUUGUUUCCGUCCUCGGGUUCCUGCUAUCUGUGAGUGGGGAGCAGAGCAGCCAUUAAGUCUGCCCGCCGGUGCUCGUUGGUGAUGGAAACAAAUGAACCUGCAGCAGUCAACAGAUUAGCGAGGAGCCGGUGCUGCAGGAUGGAUGGAGGUAAACACUUGGUGUGGACGGCUGCAGGGUUGUGAACGUCCAAGUCUAGUGUUCGAGUGCACCAGGUCACUGACGAGUCGAAAAAAGGCUCGCUGACAAAACUUUUACCUCCCCGAUGGAUUUUAAAGACGUCACAUACGGGCUUCUAUCCUGAUAAUGCUUAUGUACGUUUAAUACAGAUACUUUCAAACAAGUUUACAUCUGUACGCACUUUUAUAAUUUCAUAUGGGGUUGGUGUAUCCCCACUCUGAAGCACGGUGGAGGCAGCAUCAUGAUGAAGCAUGGUGGAGGCAGCAUCAUGAUGAAGCAUGGUGGUGGCAGCAUCAUGAUGAAGCACGGUGGAGGCAGCAUCAUGAUGAAGCACGGUGGAGGCAGCAUCAUGAUGAAGCACGGUGGAGGCAGCAUCAUGAUGUGAAGCACGGUGGUGGCAGCAUCAUGGUGAAGCACGGUGGUGGCAGCAUCAUGGUGAAGCACGGUGGUGGCAGCAUCAUGGUGAAGCACGGUGGAGGCAGCAUCAUGGUGAAGCACGGUGGAGGCAGCAUCAUGGUGAAGCACGGUGGAGGCAGCAUCAUGGUGAAGCACGGUGGAGGCAGCAUCAUGAUGAAGCACGGUGGAGGCAGCAUCAUGAUGAAGCACGGUGGAGGCAGCAUCGUGAUGUGAAGCACGGUGGAGGCAGCAUCAUGAUGUGAAGCACGGUGGAGGCAGCAUCAUGAUGUGAAGCACGGUGGAGGCAGCAUCAUGAUGUGAAGCACGGUGGUGGCAGCAUCAUGAUGAAGCACGGUGGAGGCAGCAUCAUGAUGUGAAGCACGGUGGUGGCAUCAUCAUGGUGAAGCACGGUGGUGGCAGCAUGAUGUGAAGCAUGGUGGUGGCAGCAUCAUAAUUACUCCAUUUUUACUGUAUUUAAAUCAGAAAACUCAGAUUAUUAUUUUAUCAUAUCAUCUGUUUGCCUUUUUACCAUAUUAUUUAUUUACUUACAUGGCUGCUGCUCAGUGUUAUAUUUCUUUUCUUUUCUUGUUAAUGAUCCAAACCAGUCACUGCUGCUGUAAUGUGAGUUUAUCGUCCUUUAGGGGUUUUAUUUAACCGACUGUGUUUUAUUAUUCGUCACCUUCAGCUCUUUAAACGGUAACUUCCUCCUCUUCUGUCUGCUGAUGUGUUCUUCUGUUUGGGUUGGAGGCCUUUCAAUCAGAACCCAGUUCCAGCUCCAUUAUUAUGGGAUAUUUUUCAUUAUGUGUGGUAAUUGUGUGGAAUGUGAGCAGCGUCUUCCUUCACCUGGAGACUCGCUUCGUCUAUCGCCUCUUUAUGUGUCUGUGAGCAGCAGCGAUCCUCCAUUUCCUCCUGUAACUUCCGUCUUUGUUGCAUUUCUGAAGGUUUCUGAGGAGUUCAGGAGUCGAUUUCUGAACAAUAAACACAAACUGAUGCAGAUAAAAGCUGCACCCACAAGCUUUUAUUAGUGAACGUAAACCUGAACAUGAAAAAUCAACCCAUAUAAAUACAUACUGUAUGAACACUACCAGUCAAAGGUUUGAAACACACAUGGAGUUAUGUAGGAAGCAAGAAAGUGUGGAAUAAGUCAGAACAUGUUUGAUGUUUUAGGCCCCGUCCACACAAAGACAAACCGAGGUCUAAACGCAUAAGUUUCUUGCUGAAUCUGCGUAUCAUCCACAUGAAGACGGCGUUUUGGGGGUCUGUAAACGAUCAUUUUUGAAACCAGGUUCCAGAGUGGAAACAUUUUCAAACGCCGUAUACGCAGCUCUGUGUUUACCGGCUCUCCGCUACUUUUCAGAUAUGCUUGCAUCAUAGUUUCGUAUCUGCAUUGACACACAUGCACCACACGUGGCAACGAAACUAGUGACCCUACUAUCCCUGUUGCAGCAAAAUCUCCUUCUUCUCAAUCACCACCGAGUUGAACAAACAAUUAUCAAGGACACAUUACGGCACUUUAUUUACUUCCUGGCUUGGUCUCUGUUUACAACUUUUGCCGCAAGUGCGCAUGCCCACUGUUUUUUCUUCUGUUUGCGUGUUUCCGUCAUAUCGUUACAGCGCCCCUAGAGGUCUGAUGUGUUUUACAGCGUUUCCAUGCAUAUCGAGUGCAUUCAUGUAGACGCACACAUUUUCUGAGACGCCUUCAUCUUUAUGGCGAUCGGUUUUGAAACUGUUAAGCGUUUUGUCUUCGUGUGCAUGGGGCCUUAGAUUCUUUGCUUUGAUUCCUGCUUUGAACACUCUUUACAUUCUCUGGAUGAGCUUCAUGAGGUAGAACCUGAAAUGGUUUCACUUCACAGGUGUUCCUUGUCAAGGUUCAUUAGUGGAAUUUCUUCAUUGGGUUGGUCCAUCAGAAGUCAGGUUGGUCCACAGUUGACAGCCCUGUUUGACUGUUAGAAUCCAUAUUAUGGCAAGAACCAAUCAGCUCAGAGAAACAACAGUCCAUUAUUAUAAGAACUGAAGGUCAGUCAGUCCAGAAAACUACAAGAACUUUGAAUGUAUCCUCAAGGAACCAUCUAGGAACUAUCCAGGAACCUACUAGGAACCAUCUAAGAACUAUCCAGGAACCUAUAAGGAACUGUCUCGCAACUACCCAGGAACCUACCAGGAACCAUCUAGGAACUAUCCAGGAACCUACCAGGAGCUGUCUCAGAACUACCCAGGAACCCACCUGGAAGUCCAUCACUACUUUAACACAUGAAGGUCAGUCUAUCAGGAACAUUUCAAGAACUUUGAAUGGAUCAUCAAGGAACCAUCUCAGAACUUCCCAGGAACCAUCUAGGAACUAUCCAAGAACUUCCCAGGAACCAUCUAGGAAGUACGUAGGACACUGCCAGGUUUUGAGCCAGAUUUAACAGAUUUUGGACCAUUUUUAGCAUGUUUUGAGAAGUUUUGAGCACGCUUCAAGUUAUUGUGGAGAAUUUGUAAGCCAUUUGGGAGUUUUUAUUUGUGAUUUCAGACACUUUUUAAGUCAUUUUGGACACAUCCUUUGUAAAAACGUGUGUGGUUGGUGAUAUAUUGCUGCAGAGAGAAGAUUUACUUCUUCAGAGAAAAUCCCUGGUGAUGAAAUGUAAUAAAAACAGAUCCAGGAGAUCAAUAAUAUGAAACAGUGAAGGAGUGAAGAGAAUCCUCUGCACAUUUUUUGUAUUCAUUAUAUUUUAACAGCAAAAAAAUCCCAAAACUAAAUACUGUAAUCAUCAAUAAUCUGUAUUUUUGUUUCUACAAAUAAUAGGUUUUGUACAAUAAGUGACCAUAAAAUCACCCUGUUUUAAAGUAUUUAAAUAAUAAUAAUAUUAACUAAUAAAAUCAGCCAAAAAAGGAUUGAUAAUGUUCUCAUUUAAAAUCGAUGCUUUUAGAAAUGGUAGGUUGAUUUUUUUUUACAAUCUUUGACUGUGAAAUAUCCUUUUUUUUAAACUGUAUGUAAGAUUUGCUUAUUUACAAAUAUUUGCUUUUAUUUGAACAAAAUUCUGUUUUGUUAAAUUACAGACAAUAACAAGUAAAAUAUACUUUUUCAAAGUAUAAAUCUACACAUUAUCUCUAAAAACAAUAUUUAAAAUCUAUGUUUUAAUUUUUGUUUUCAGAUAUUUUAAGGAUUAAUUGAACAUUUUCAGUUUUUAUCCUGUGGAUUUACAACUAAAUAACAGAACUUUUUGUAUUUUUCACUCAAGAUAAUUAAUAGCGAACGUCUAUUUUUUACUUUCAAUUUACUAUUGAACAACAGUAUAUCUUUGAUUUCUCACUGUAGAGUCACAAACAACAGUAAAUGUAAUUUUUUAUAAUAAAUUUACCUUUGGCAACAGAAAUGCUUCGUUUUUUUUAUAAAUUAUGAACACAGCUUCAUACUGCUGAAUAUAUUCUUCUGUUUUUUUAACAGUUAAUGAACCCAAACAUUCUUCCAGAUGUGUUUCUAGGGUUUACGUUCAGCGCUGAACAUCCACAGUUAAUCACAUCAUAGAAGAACACCGAGAGGCUGUGAGAGCAGAAAUCCAGACCAUAAUUUCUGUGCUGUGUUUUAGUCUGAGAGCUUUCAGGCUGGAAACAUGUGCUGAGAGGAAUAUCCCCCAGAUAAUUCAUUUCAUGCAAAUUCUGAAAAAUGAAUACUGUUGCAGCAGCAAGAAUAAUUUGUACCAUUUGCAUGCAUGAGCAGAUCCCUCCAGACCAGAAUAUACGCUGCGGCUGCGAGUA
This is a long non-coding RNA of Acanthochromis polyacanthus (spiny chromis), 7888 nucleotides long. RefSeq lists it as uncharacterized. The record is from RefSeq and is a predicted model, not a curated record. The transcript is spliced from 3 exons. Lineage: Eukaryota; Metazoa; Chordata; Actinopteri; Pomacentridae.